This 497-nucleotide ribosomal RNA is filed under the name uncultured bacterium. RNAcentral describes it as "partial 16S ribosomal RNA". It matches the Rfam family "Bacterial small subunit ribosomal RNA", at positions 28 to 507 of the family's 1533-position model. The record is from RNAcentral.
GAUGAACGCUGGCGGCGUGCCUAAUACAUGCAAGUCGAGCGAACGGACGAGAAGCUUGCUUUUCUGAUGUUAGCGGCGGACGGGUGAGUAACACGUGGAUAACCUACCUAUAAGACUGGGAUAACUUCGGGAAACCGGAGCUAAUACCGGAUAAUAUUUUGAACCGCAUGGUUCAAAAGUGAAAGACGGUCUUGCUGUCACUUAUAGAUGGAUCCGCGCUGCAUUAGCUAGUUGGUAAGGUAACGGCUUACCAAGGCAACGAUGCAUAGCCGACCUGAGAGGGUGAUCAGCCACACUGGAACUGAGACACGGUCCAGACUCCUACGGGAGGCAGCAGUAGGGAAUCUUCCGCAAUGGGCGAAAGCCUGACGGAGCAACGCCGCGUGAGUGAUGAAGGUCUUCGGAUCGUAAAACUCUGUUAUUAGGGAAGAACAUAUGUGUAAGUAACUGUGCACAUCUUGACGGUACCGAAUCAGAAAGCCACGGCUAACUACGUG